RNAcentral lists this unclassified non-coding RNA (354 nucleotides) under soil metagenome. Its description in RNAcentral is "partial contains 5.8S ribosomal RNA, internal transcribed spacer 2, and large subunit ribosomal RNA". The stretch from base 1 to 120 matches the Rfam family "5.8S ribosomal RNA", at positions 35 to 154 of the family's 154-position model. The record is from RNAcentral.
GAUGAAGAACGCAGCGAAAUGCGAUAAGUAAUGUGAAUUGCAGAAUUCAGUGAAUCAUCGAAUCUUUGAACGCACAUUGCGCCCGCCAGUAUUCUGGCGGGCAUGCCUGUUCGAGCGUCAUUACAACCCUCAGGCCCCCGGGCCUGGCGUUGGGGAUCGGCGGAAGCCCCCUGCGGGCACAACGCCGUCCCCCAAAUACAGUGGCGGUCCCGCCGCAGCUUCCAUUGCGUAGUAGCUAACACCUCGCAACUGGAGAGCGGCGCGGCCACGCCGUAAAACACCCAACUUCUGAAUGUUGACCUCGAAUCAGGUAGGAAUACCCGCUGAACUUAAGCAUAUCAAUAAGCGGAGGAA